This 581-nucleotide ribosomal RNA is filed under the name uncultured bacterium. RNAcentral describes it as "bacterial SSU rRNA". It matches the Rfam family "Bacterial small subunit ribosomal RNA", at positions 827 to 1421 of the family's 1533-position model. The record is from RNAcentral.
GUGGGGCCAUCCACGAUCCGUGAGCACGAACGCAUAAUUCCCCCUGGGGAGUACGGCCCAAGGCUAAACUCAAAGGAAUUGACGGGGACCGCCAAGCGCGGAGCAUGCGGAUUAAUUCGAUCAACGCGAAGACCUUACAAGGCUUGACAUAUAGAGGAACGUCUGGAAACAGUCGCCCGCAAGGUCUCUAUACAGGUGGUGCAUGGUUGUCGUCAGCUCGUGUCGUGAGAUGUUGGGUUAAGUCCCGCAACGAGCGCAACCCUCGUUCUAUGUUGCCAGCACGUAAUGGUGGGAACUCAUGGGAUACUGCCGGGGUCAACUCGGAGGAAGGUGGGGAUGACGUCAAAUCAUCAUGCCCCUUAUGUCUUGGGCUUCACGCAUGCUACAAUGGCCGGUACAAAGGGCUGCAAUACCGUAAGGUGGAGCGAAUCCCAAAAAGCCGGUCCCAGUUCGGAUUGAGGUCUGCAACUCGACCUCAUGAAGUCGGAGUCGCUAGUAAUCGCAGAUCCAGCAACGCUGCGGUGAAUACGUUCCCGGGUCUUGUACACACCGCCCGUCAAGUCAUGAAAGUCGGUAACACC